This 383-nucleotide ribosomal RNA is filed under the name uncultured bacterium. RNAcentral's name for it is "bacterial SSU rRNA". It matches the Rfam family "Bacterial small subunit ribosomal RNA", at positions 28 to 412 of the family's 1533-position model. The record is from RNAcentral.
GACGAACGCUGGCGGCGUGCUUAACACAUGCAAGUCGAGCGGUAAGGCCCUUUCGGGGGUACACGAGCGGCGAACGGGUGAGUAACACGUGGGUGACCUGCCUUUAGCUCUGGGAUAAGCCUGGGAAACUGGGUCUAAUACCGGAUACGACUCCGCGGUGCAUACUGUGGGGUGGAAAGCCUUGUGCGGCUGGAGAUGGGCCCGCGGCCUAUCAGCUUGUUGGUGGGGUGAUGGCCUACCAAGGCGACGACGGGUAGCCGGCCUGAGAGGGCGACCGGCCACACUGGGACUGAGACACGGCCCAGACUCCUACGGGAGGCAGCAGUGGGGAAUCUUGCGCAAUGGGCGAAAGCCUGACGCAGCGACGCCGCGUGAGGGAUGAC